This is a non-coding RNA of Sus scrofa (pig), 6001 nucleotides long. The record is from RefSeq and is a predicted model, not a curated record. Lineage: Eukaryota; Metazoa; Chordata; Mammalia; Artiodactyla; Suidae.
GCAUGUGCAACCUGGGCCCCGCCUCUUCCCUUCCGCCUUCACAAACCUCAUCUCUAAAUCCUGGCGCCUCUAGGUCUUGGCCAGUGAACUAGGAGCGGGCUCCACUGUGGACCUCGGGUGGCCUGGAGGUUUGCUGAGAGCCCUGUUCUUGUGGCGGAGGCAGAAGCGUGACAUCUCGGGACGCCCUCCCACCGGGCGGGACCCCUCAGUGCCCGGGUCUGGCCUGGACCUCGCCAGGGGAAGGUGGGUGGGGGAUCCCUGUUGCUGCCCCGUAGUCUGGGGUAGGUGUAUCUGAGACCCGUUAGGAGCUAGAGCAUGGCUGGUAUGGGGACCGCGUGUCCGGCCCUGCCUGCUGCCUUGCGGGGUAACGGGGUCGCAGUGAGAGGAAAAGUUCCACGAUAGCGCUGGCGGUGGGUUGGAGGAGAGGGCGGGAUGGGGUCUGCGGGGCAGCGCUGCUCUGGGUCCGGCGUUGCUGUGAUCAUUUCCUGCUGUGUAAUCUGUGACCUUCGGCUGAAGAAGUAACCUGCGGGAGAGUAAGCUUCAGCUUGCAGGGGCUCAAUAUGGAAUCUCAGUUCCCAGGCCAGGGAUUGGAUGGCGGUGGUGAAAGUGCAAAAAAGCCCUAAUCACUAGCCCAGCAGGGAGCUCCAGAUAUGAUGUCACACAAGGAGUUAGCAAAGUGCCAGCUGACACUUCACAGGCCUCUCUAAUGUCUGAAGUGCUCCAGAAAAUGAAUCUAUUUGAGGCAUCAGUGUCCUUCAAGGAUGUGACUGUGGAGAUUACUCAGGAGGAGUGGCAGCAGAUGAGCCCUGCUCAAAGGACUCUGUACAGAGAUGUGGUGCUGGAGAACUACAGCCACCUUGUGUCAUCAGGAUAUUGUUUUAAAAAUCCAGAGGUAAUCAUCAAGUUGGAGCAAGGAAAGGAUCCAUUGUUUUCUGAGGAAGACUUUCUAAGCAAGAGCUAUGCAGGGCUGCACUUAAGCCAUAUGGAAGUUCCUGGGUUGGGGUGGAAUCAGAUACAGCUGGGACCUAUGCUACAGAAGGUACUAAAGGGACUUUCAGUACUGUGUUGAAAAGAAGAGGUGAAAGUGGGCAUCACUAUCUUAUUCCAGAAAUUAGAGGAAAAUCCUUCCGCUUUAUACUCCUGAGCAUGAUGUUAGAUGUCACAGGUGCCGCAUUUCAAGAGCUCACUUAAGAACAGGUGACAGCGAGUGGCCAGGCAGGGGCGCAAGACCCCGGGAGGCGCAGGUCCUAUUCAAGUUGGCUGCUAGUCCUCAUCCUUCUACAUCUUCCCUCCAGAUUGCCUUCCUUUUAAGGACCCACAUCCACCUCCUCAGCUGGACUGAAACCAGGGAACCAUUAUCCAACCUGAGGAUUCCCAAGUUGAGAGAGAAGAAACAAGGAUGCGAGCCCUAAGGAAGUCCAAGCCCUCCGUCUAGGACUGCAAAUAGCCGCUUCGGGCUUCCCCGUGUACCGGGCACUGUUCCUGGCAUCACUGCGCUAGUUCCUCAAAACGACCCUCCGGUGGACGAGGGUGCUGAGGCUCAGAAGUAGGGCCGGGCGGGACAGACGAAGAAACUGGGGCUCAGAAGACGUCAGGGGCGGCCCACAUCCACAGGCAGCCUUGCGGCCAGAACAGAAGAGAAACCCGCACUCAAGCCAGUCUCGCCCACCCUGCCUCCCCCUCUGCGGAUCCGACCCCAUCGACCGAAUGUAGUCGCCAGGGCCCAGGAGGGCUCCCGCCGCCGGCCGUCAAGGGCUGCCAGGACUCCACCCGCCGACCCCGCAGCUGGCCCCGUUGGGGUCCCAGACGCCGGGGCGCGCGGCCCUCGACCACGCGCGGCCCCGCGUCAGCGCCCCCGCGGGGCUUCCCCACCGCCGCGGCGGAGAAAAGCACCGCAGCCGAGCCCCCCGCCAGGCCGCAGCCGCAGGCCGCUAGCAACAGCGCCUGCCGGAUGGCCUUGCUGGCCAGUCCCGCACCAACCCCGCGCAGGCGCGCUCACGGGCGCGGACGGCGCCCAGUCAAUUAGUGUGUUUAAAUUAUUUUCACAUUAGAGAAAUAAAUCCAGCUCAAUCAUGGUAUAUGAAACUUUUAAAGUGCAUUUUAAUUUACUUCCUAGUGUUUUGUGGAGAAUUUCUGCAAUGAUGUCCAUUAGAGAUAACUGGAUCAUAAUUCUUUUCUUGUAUCCUUAUCUGGUUUUUAUAUUAUAUUAUGGUAAUAUGGGCCUCAUAAAAUGAGCUUGAAAGUGCACUCUCUUCUUUUUUGGAAGAGUUUGAGAAAGAAUGGUAUUAAGUCAUCUCUAAAGUUCGGUCUAAUUCACCAGUAAAUACCAUGGGCAUUUCUUUUUCAGCGGUUUGUGAUUACUGAUUAAAUCUUCUAAUUGUUGGUCAGUUCCGAUUUUCUAUUUCUCUAUGAUCCAGUAUUAUUCGGUUCUGUUUCUAAGAAUUUAUCCAUUUCUUCUAGAUGAUUCAGUUUGGCAAAUCACUGUUCACAAUAAUCUUUCAUGAUAUUUCUUUGAUAUCCUUUGCAAUGUCUCCUCUAAGAUUUUGUUUAACUACUUAUGUAAUCAUUUUUUUUAGGGCUGUACCCACAACAUAUGGAGGUUUCCAGGCUAGGGGUGGAAACAGCUACAGCUGCUGGCCUACCCCACAGCCACAGCAAUGCCAGAUCUGAACUGCCCCUGUGACCUAUGCAGCUUAUGGCAACACCAGAUCCUUAACCAACUUAGUGUGGCCAGGGAUGGAAACCAUGUCCUGACCCACACAUACUCCACCUCUGUGAAUUGCUCUAUGUGUUCUCUAGGGUGCUGGCAAGAACAAGCUUUUUGGAGAUGCUCGUGAGCUUGUGCAGAAAGCCUGCCUGAAUCUGCACCAAGAGAGAGACCACAAACUUGAGAUUUAGUGCCACCAUUAGGAAAACAAAAAGAGGUUGUCAAAAACUGGUCUGGUGUAUUACAGGAUCAAGAGAAGGUAUAUGUGCUUAAACUGCAUCACAAGAGAGAGCAUUAAGUAUGGAGCAGGUAUAUUCGUAGGCUGUCUGAGAAAGUCUCAAAUACCUAGCUCAACAGACAAAAGGUAUUACUAUCCCAAGGCACUUAGUAAAGACUGGAAAAGGUAACUUCUACUUCUUUGUAUUGCUUCAAAGAGAUCAAUACAAAACUAAGAAAAAAAAAAUAAAAAGCAAUUUAGGAACCUGACAUCACUGAAGGAUCAGUCUUAUGUCCUGUAUGAGGCCAAUUCUCCAAGAUUGGUCAACUUACUGUGUAAUACAUAGAAAGGCACUGAGAGACUUAGGCAAAAUAAGGAGACAGGAAAUUGUUCUGAAUGAAGAAACAGGGUCUGAGGAUCCUCAAAGCCUUCCUAUUCAGUGCCCACUUAUUCUUCCCAUCUGAGUUCUGAGUUAGAUAAGACGGAGACCAGUUCUUCAGAUAGCUCCGAGGCAGGGUACAGUGUUGUAAAUAAGCUUUGCUCUGUUUCCUCCAGUUCAAGGCAAGAAAUUGAGAACUGGAUGCCAUCUCUUCCAUAUUGAGUUGUGCCAUGCCUUACAUAGAGGGGUUGGGAUAUGUGUGAGCUAAGAUGCCAGGAAUUUUUGUUGAUGUGAAUUUUUUUUUUUCUGAUGUUUGGAUGUUGACUGGUUGGUGCACGUCUUUGUUUUCCUGUGCAUACUGUACCUAUAUAAUAUAUUUUUCCAGUUGUGCUUUUUUUAUGUGAGUUUCUCUGAGGAAGCAAUAGCUUGGCGCUUCCAGCAUUUUGCUGAUUUACUGCCCUUUAAUGUUUACUCUUUUUGGUGUGGAGUUCUGUGGGUUUUGACAUGUGCACAAUAUCAUACAUUCAUUCUAAUUAGUAUCAUAAAAAUUACUUUCACUGUGAUUAAAAAUAAAACUUGGGCUUCCCCUACUCAGCCCUCCCUGAUUCUUGUUAACCAUGUGGCACCCACUGAUUAUUUUACUGUCUCCAAAGUUUUGCCUCUUCCACAAUUACAUGUAAUUGGAUACCUACAUUAUCUUUAGUGGGGAUAUGGAGAAAUCUGAACUGUUGGGUAUUGCUGGUUUGAAUGUAAAAUACUUCAGAUGCUAUGGAAAACAAAAUAGAUCGUCCCUCAAAAAGUUAAACAUGGUGUUAACUUAUGACCCAACAAUUCUCUGUAUACACACAAUAAUUGAAAAUAGUUUCUCAGGUAAACACUUUUACAUAAAUCAUCUAGUGGCAGUAUUCACAUUACCUCAAGGACGGAAACAACCCAAUCAUUUAUUAACUAACAAAUGAGUAUAGAAACUACGGUGUAUAUAUAACAGUGGAGUAGCAUUCAGCCAUAAAGGAAUAAAAUACUGGUAUCUGCCACAUCAUGGACAAUCCUUGAGACAUUAUGAGUGGAAGAAUACAGACACAAAAGGCUACCUAUUCUAUGAUUCCAUUUAUGUGAAUCAACCAAAACAGGCAAAAGCAUGGAGACAGCAAGCAGAUGGUUGGUUGUAGAGGAGUGGAGGACUACGGAUGAGAAGAAAAUGCUUAAUGUGUAUGGCUUUUUGGAGGGGUAGUGAGAAAUUUGUUAAUACAUUUUCCUGUAUUGCAUACUUUUAAAUUCAUAAAUUAAUCAAUUCAUAAAUAAAGAUUGGGAAUGUGAAAGAAAAAAUAACAUUGGUUGAAAGGACAUUGAUGUAUUGCCAGAAAUAUGGUGUACAACUAUUUUUCAAAGUUUUAUUACUUUGAUUUGACAGGUAAUGAGAUAUUUUAUUUGGGGGACUCAUUGUCACAUCCCAGGAAUAACUCGAAUUUUAAUCAAGUUAGAAAGACUGAAUUGUUUGGUAUUUCAGAAGAAGAAGAACUUUAGAAAGUUAUAGAGGGAGUCCUGUUUUGGCUUGGCAAGUUGAGAAUCUGACUAGUAUACAUGAAGAUGCGGGUUGGAUCCCUGGCCUCAGUCAGUGGGUUAAGGAUCUGGUGUUGCUGCAAGGUGCAGCAUAUGUUGCAGAUUGGGCAUGGAUCAGUUGUUGCCCUGGCUGUGGCCUAGGCCAGCAGCUGCAGCUCCAAUUAGAUCCCCAGCCUGGGGAACUGCCAUAUGCCACAAGUGUGGCCCUAAAAAAAAAAAAGUGUGAUGACAAAAAAAUUAUAAAGAUUUGUUUUAUCACCAUAUGAAAAGUGAGGGACAAGAAACACCUAGAUUUGAUGUAGUAUUAUUAAUGAGUUUCUAGGGAAGAGUUGUCCAAUAAGAAGAGACAGCCAGUCUUUCUCAUUUUAAAUUUGAAUACGUGAAAUGCUACCCUGUUUCAAUUUUUUGAGAAUAUAUGUUAUCUACAUUGGAUGUCCCUCAGGUUUUUUCUAUGCUUUUACUGUCCAUAAUCUGUUUUAGCCUCAGAUUAAAUACUAAUAAAAAUUCUUAGUGGGAAUUGGGGAGAAGAGAAAAUACAGAGAGACUAAGAGGUACAAACUUUCAGUUACAAAAUAAAUGAGUGACAGAUAUGGAAUAUACAAUGUCAGCAAUACUGUCAAUAAUUAUCUAAUAACUUUAUAUGGUGACAGGUGAAAACUAAAUUUGUCGUGGUAGUCAUUUUGAAAUAUAUAGAAAUAUCUAAUCCCUAUGUUUUAUACCAGGAAAAAACAUAGUGUUUUAGGUCAGUUAUACUUCAAAAACAAACAAAAUCAUAAAAAAGAGAUGAGAUUAGUUUUUAUCACAGAUGGAAUGUGGGAAGAGGGAGUAUUUAUGAAGGUGAAGAAAAAACCAACUCUGCUUGUAAGAUAAAUAAGUGCAAGGGAUGUAAAGUACAACAUCAUAAAUAUAAUGAACACUAUAUUAUAUAUGAAAGUUGCUUAGAGAAUAAAUCCUAAGAGUUCUCAUCACAAGAAAAAUAAAUUUCUAUUUCUUUAAUGUAUCUUUAUGAGAUAAUGGAUGCUCACUAACCUUGUAAUCAUUUCAUGUAUGUAAGGCAAAUCAUUAUGCUGUACACCUAGAACCUUGUACAGUGAUGUAUCUCAAUUUUAUCUCAAUAAAACUGGGAAAAAACUCAAAA